This 402-nucleotide ribosomal RNA is filed under the name uncultured bacterium. RNAcentral's name for it is "bacterial SSU rRNA". It matches the Rfam family "Bacterial small subunit ribosomal RNA", at positions 355 to 774 of the family's 1533-position model. The record is from RNAcentral.
UGGGGAAUCAUGCACAAUGGGGGCAACCCUGAUGCAGCGACGCCGCGUGAGCGAUGAAGCCCUUCGGGGCGUAAAGCUCUUUCGACCGGAACGAUAAUGACGGUACCGGGAGAAGAAGCUGCGGCUAACUACGUGCCAGCAGCCGCGGUAAUACGUAGGCAGCAAGCGUUGUUCGGAGUUACUGGGCGUAAAGAGUGCGUAGGCGGUUUUCUAAGUUCGGUGUGAAAUCUCCCGGCUUAACUGGGAGGGUGCGCCGAAGACUGGGAAGCUGGAGUGUGGGAAAGGCAGGCGGAAUUCCUGGUGUAGCGGUGAAAUGCGUAGAUAUCAGGAGGAACACCGGCGAUGUAGACGGCUUGCUAGACCAUAACUGACGCUGAGGCACGAAAGCGUGGGUAGCAAACA